This is a long non-coding RNA of Harpegnathos saltator (Jerdon's jumping ant), 767 nucleotides long. RefSeq lists it as uncharacterized. The record is from RefSeq and is a predicted model, not a curated record. The transcript is spliced from 3 exons. NCBI's taxonomy places the organism in Eukaryota, Metazoa, Arthropoda, Insecta, Hymenoptera, Formicidae.
UCCGUUCGAGGACGAUUUCAGCUCCGGAACGGCCGCGCGUUUCGGUGAUCUCUCGGUGAUGCCAGUGGCCUCUGCGGAAAACGAAGGUAUCAAAAUGUCACUUACCCGGUGACAGCGGUCUCUUGACGGGCGACGCUCUCGCGGCACGAUGGCUCACUGUUGACUGUGUCGCGGCAUCGUGGCCAGCCGCCGAUAUCUUGGCGCUCAUCCUCGCCACGAGGCCAGCCAGUUCGUUCCGGCGAUCUUGACUCACGUACCAGGAAGCUCAAUCCGGAGGACGUAGGAGCAUACUGACGCACGCAGUCACGAGGUGACCCUCUAUGCUUCCAGGUGACGACCGCGAUUGCUCACGCUGACCUGAAAGCACGUCCAAUACCCGUUAGAGAAGCGUGACACAGACAUGUGAUUUGUUAACGACACGUGACAGACGUUCACACUUUAUCAAUUGUGAACAACUGCCGAAAGAAAGGAAAGAGAAUAAAGGAGACAGAUGAAGAGCGUUGACUUCGAAGAGGAGCCUUGAAGAAGGAACAGGAACCUGGGGAGCCAAGGCGAUCCACAAUUUCUCGCUUGUUCGUCUUGACAAUUCGGUCCGAUUUAAAGCUGGGACAGGGAGAAAGGGAACGAAAUCGAUCCUAUCAGUUUGCAGCACUCCCUCUCGAUAGAAUGUCAGCAGAAAGUGUCUGUCGGUUUCCUACCAAGUUUACAUUUAUAUUAUUACAUGUAGAGUGUCUUGAUGAUAAAAUUCAUAAAUAAAUAAAAAUUUA